UACGUAGGUGGCAAGCGUUGUCCGGAAUUAUUGGGCGUAAAGCGCGCGCAGGCGGUCCUUUAAGUCUGAUGUGAAAGCCCACGGCUCAACCGUGGAGGGUCAUUGGAAACUGAGGGACUUGAGUGCAGAAGAGGAAAGCGGAAUUCCACGUGUAGCGGUGAAAUGCGUAGAGAUGUGGAGGAACACCAGUGGCGAAGGCGGCUUUCUGGUCUGUAACUGACGCUGAGGGCGCGAAAAGCGUGGGGGAGCAAACAGG
This 256-nucleotide ribosomal RNA is filed under the name uncultured bacterium. Its description in RNAcentral is "partial 16S ribosomal RNA". It matches the Rfam family "Bacterial small subunit ribosomal RNA", at positions 524 to 776 of the family's 1533-position model. The record is from RNAcentral.